UACAGAGGUGGCAAGCGUUGUUCGGAAUUACUGGGCGUAAAGGGCGCGUAGGCGGUUCGUUAAGUCCUGUGUGAAAUCCCCCGGCUCAACUGGGGAACUGCACAGGAAACUAGCGGGCUUGAGUUCGGGAGAGGGAAGCGGAAUUCCGGGUGUAGCGGUGAAAUGCGUAGAUAUCCGGAGGAACACCGGUGGCGAAGGCGGCGCACUGGACCACAACUGACGCUGAGGCGCGAAAGCUAGGGGAGCAAACAGG
RNAcentral lists this ribosomal RNA (253 nucleotides) under uncultured bacterium. Its description in RNAcentral is "partial 16S ribosomal RNA". It matches the Rfam family "Bacterial small subunit ribosomal RNA", at positions 524 to 776 of the family's 1533-position model. The record is from RNAcentral.